RNAcentral lists this ribosomal RNA (254 nucleotides) under uncultured bacterium. Its description in RNAcentral is "partial small subunit ribosomal RNA". It matches the Rfam family "Bacterial small subunit ribosomal RNA", at positions 26 to 285 of the family's 1533-position model. The record is from RNAcentral.
AGGACGAACGCUGGCGGCGUGCUUAACACAUGCAAGUCGAGCGGAAAGGCCCUUCGGGGUACUCGAGCGGCGAACGGAUGAGUAACACGUGAGCAACCUGCCCCUAGCUUCGGGAUAGCUCCGGGAAACCGGAAUUAAUACCGAAUAUGGCCAUGGACGACAUCAGCCAUGGUGGAAAGUUUUUCGGCUAGGGAUGGACUCGCGGCCUAUCAGCUAGUUGGUGAGGUAACGGCCCACCAAGGCGACGACGGGUA